UGAAUACGAGACGCUACGGCGUCGAAGCAGUCUAUGUCAUACUUCCAAGAAAAGCUUGCACUGUCAUAAACAAAUAAUGCCUGUACCAUAACCGACACAGGUGGGUAGGUAGAGUAUACUAAGGGGCGCGAGAUAACUCUCUCUAAGGAACUCGGCAAAAUGACUCCGUAACUUCGGGAGAAGGAGUGCCUUAUUUAUAAGGUUGCAAUAACAAGAUCCAAGCAACUGUUUAUCAAAAACACAGGUCUCCGCUAAGUCGUAAGACGAUGUAUGGGGGCUGACGCCUGCCCAGUGCCAGAAGGUUAAAGAAGUUGGUUAGCAUUAGCGAAGCUGAUAACUGAAGCCCUGGUGAACGGCGGCCGUAACUAUAACGGUCCUAAGGUAGCGAAAUUCCUUGUCGGGUAAGUUCCGACCCGCACGAAAGGCGUAAUGAUUUGGAUACUGUCUCAGAGAGGGGCUCGGUGAAAUAGACUUGUCUGUGAAGAUGCGGACUACCUGCACCAGGACAGAAAGACCCUAUGAAGCUUUACUGUAACUUGAAAUUGAAAUUGGACUUUAUUUGCGCAGUAUAGGUGGGAGGCAUUGAUAAUAUUCUUGCGGGAAUGUUGGAGCCAUCAGUGAGAUACCACUCUUGUAAUGUUAGAUUUCUAACUUUGGAUCAUUAUCUGGUCAAAGGACAGUUUCAGGCGGGCAGUUUGACUGGGGCGGUCGCCUCCUAAAUGUUAACGGAGGCGCACAAAGGUUUCCUCUGAACGGGUAGAAAUCGUAUCUAGAGUGUAAAGGCAUAAGGAAGCUUGACUGUGAGACCUACAAGUCGAGCAGGGACGAAAGUCGGUCUUAGUGAUCUGACGGUGCUGAGUGGAAAGGCCGUCACUCAACGGAUAAAAGUUACUCUAAGGAUAACAGGCUGAUCUCCCCCAAGAGUUCACAUCGACGGGGAGGUUUGGCACCUCGAUGUCGGCUCAUCGCAUCCUGGGGCGGUAGUACGUCCCAAGGGUUGGGCUGUUCGCCCAUGAAAGCGGUACGCGAGCUGGGUUCAGAACGUCGUGAGACAGUUCGGUCCAUAUCCGGUGUAGGCGUUAGAAUAUUGAGAGGAGCCUUCUUUAGUACGAGAGGACCGAGAAGGACAUACCUCUGGUGUACCAGUUAUCGUGCCAACGGUAAACGCUGGGUAGCUAUGUAUGGAGAGGAUAACCGCUGAAAGCAUCUAAGUGGGAAGCCCACCUCAAGAUAAG
This 1235-nucleotide ribosomal RNA is filed under the name metagenome. RNAcentral's name for it is "bacterial LSU rRNA". It matches the Rfam family "Bacterial large subunit ribosomal RNA", at positions 1564 to 2808 of the family's 2925-position model. The record is from RNAcentral.